UGGGGAAUAUUGGACAAUGGGGGGAACCCUGAUCCAGCCAUGCCGCGUGUGUGAAGAAGGCCUUAUGGUUGUAAAGCACUUUAAGCGAGGAGGAGGCUCUUUUGGUUAAUACCCAAGAUGAGUGGACGUUACUCGCAGAAUAAGCACCGGCUAACUCUGUGCCAGCAGCCGCGGUAUACAGAGGGUGCGAGCGUUAAUCGGAUUUACUGGGCGUAAAGCGUGCGUAGGCGGCUUUUUAAGUCGGAUGUGAAAUCCCCCGAGCUUAACUUGGGAAUUGCAUUCGAUACUGGGAAGCUAGAGUAUGGGAGAGGAUGGUAGAAUUCCAGGUGUAGCGGUGAAAUUGCGUAGAGAUCUUGGAGGAAUACCGAUGGCGAAGGCAGCCAUCUGGCCUAAUACUGACGCUGAGGUACGAAAGCAUGGGGAGCAAACA
This 430-nucleotide ribosomal RNA is filed under the name uncultured Acinetobacter sp. Its description in RNAcentral is "bacterial SSU rRNA". It matches the Rfam family "Bacterial small subunit ribosomal RNA", at positions 355 to 774 of the family's 1533-position model. The record is from RNAcentral. Lineage: Bacteria; Pseudomonadati; Pseudomonadota; Gammaproteobacteria; Moraxellales; Moraxellaceae.